RNAcentral lists this ribosomal RNA (460 nucleotides) under uncultured bacterium. Its description in RNAcentral is "partial 16S ribosomal RNA". It matches the Rfam family "Bacterial small subunit ribosomal RNA", at positions 338 to 795 of the family's 1533-position model. The record is from RNAcentral.
CCUACGGGUGGCAGCAGUGAGGAAUAUUGGUCAAUGGACGAGAGUCUGAACCAGCCAAGUAGCGUGAAGGAUGACUGCCCUAUGGGUUGUAAACUUCUUUUAUAUGGGAAUAAAAUGUUCCACGUGUGGGAUUUUGUAUGUACCAUAUGAAUAAGGAUCGUCUAACUCCGUGCCAGCAGCCGCGGUAAUACGGAGGAUCCGAGCGUUAUCCGGAUUUAUUGGGUUUAAAGGGAGCGUAGGUGGAUUGUUAAGUCAGUUGUGAAAGUUUGCGGCUCAACCGUAAAAUUGCAGUUGAAACUGGCAGUCUUGAGUACAGUAGAGGUGGGCGGAAUUCGUGGUGUAGCGGUGAAAUGCUUAGAUAGCACGAAGAACUCCGAUUGCGAAGGCAGUUCACUGUACUGCAACUGACACUGAGGCUCGAAAGUGUGGGUAUCAAACAGGAUUAGAUACCCGAGUAGUC